This 118-nucleotide ribosomal RNA is filed under the name Alcichthys elongatus. Its description in RNAcentral is "partial 16S ribosomal RNA". Lineage: Eukaryota; Metazoa; Chordata; Actinopteri; Perciformes; Cottidae. The record is from RNAcentral.
ACGCCCAACAGCUAGCCCACCAAAACAAUUUCAACAAGCCCCUGUUAAUAACCCCUAAAUACCCCAGUAUUAAAAUUAAACAAACCAUUUUUCCCCCUUAGUAUAGGCGAUAGAAAAG